CGCUAUCACUCCUACGGGGAGGCAGCAGUAGGGAAUACUUCCACAAUGGGCGCAAGCCUGAUGGAGCAACACCGCGUGAGUGAAGAAGGGUUUCGGCUCGUAAAGCUCUGUUGUUAAAGAAGAACACGUAUGAGAGUAACUGUUCAUACGUUGACGGUAUUUAACCAGAAAGUCACGGCUAACUACGUGCCAGCAGCCGCGGUAAUACGUAGGUGGCAAGCGUUAUCCGGAUUUAUUGGGCGUAAAGAGAGUGCAGGCGGUUUUCUAAGUCUGAUGUGAAAGCCUUCGGCUUAACCGGAGAAGUGCAUCGGAAACUGGAUAACUUGAGUGCAGAAGAGGGUAGUGGAACUCCAUGUGUAGCGGUGGAAUGCGUAGAUAUAUGGAAGAACACCAGUGGCGAAGGCGGCUACCUGGUCUGCAACUGACGCUGAGACUCGAAAGCAUGGGUAGCGAACAGGAUUAGAUACCCUGGUAG
RNAcentral lists this ribosomal RNA (475 nucleotides) under uncultured bacterium. RNAcentral's name for it is "bacterial SSU rRNA". It matches the Rfam family "Bacterial small subunit ribosomal RNA", at positions 328 to 793 of the family's 1533-position model. The record is from RNAcentral.